AUAGGCCUGUCGGAGCAUGUCCGUAGCGACAGGAAACGUUAAGGUUGUAUCUAACUGAGGGGAGAAGAGGAUCGGACCAGAGGAGUUGCCACCUAUCUAAAUCGCGCUGUGGACUUGUGCUACCUUGAAGUAGAUCAGAGGGCGUCCUAACGCAGGAAUACCAUCAUCAUGGGUUUCUACGGCACGUUGAAGCUCAUAUUCUAUAAAAUGAAGAGGAAGUUGGACCAUGGACCAGACGUCAGGCCGUUCUCUUCAGUCAAGAAACACUGCAAAGGUUCCAGCUACCUCAGUCCCUGCAGUCUCGUUCCAUUCCAGACCACGCCCACUACCUUUGGAGACCUGCG
Molecule: long non-coding RNA, 344 nt
Organism: Oncorhynchus gorbuscha (pink salmon)
Lineage: Eukaryota; Metazoa; Chordata; Actinopteri; Salmoniformes; Salmonidae
Exons: 3
Source: RefSeq, a predicted model, not a curated record